This 366-nucleotide unclassified non-coding RNA is filed under the name uncultured Tomentella. RNAcentral's name for it is "sequence contains ITS1". The stretch from base 1 to 106 matches the Rfam family "5.8S ribosomal RNA", at positions 50 to 154 of the family's 154-position model. The record is from RNAcentral. Lineage: Eukaryota; Fungi; Basidiomycota; Agaricomycetes; Thelephorales; Thelephoraceae.
GAAAUGCGAUAAGUAAUGUGAAUUGCAGAAUUCAGUGAAUCAUCGAAUCUUUGAACGCACCUUGCGCCCUUUGGCUAUUCCGAAGGGCAUGCCUGUUUGAGUAUCAUGAACACCUCAACUCUCAUGGUCCGCCAUGAUGAGCUUGGACUCUGGGGGUCUUGCCGGCCUAGCGUCGGCUCCUCUCAAAUGGAUCAGCUUGCCAGUGUUUGGUGGCGUCACAGGUGUGAUAACUAUCUACGCUUGUGGUUUCCACCAUGCAACCUUCAGUGAUGGAGGUUCGCUGGAGCUCACAGAUGUCUCUCCUUGGGGAGGACAGCUUUUUGAACGUUUGAUCUCAAAUCAGGUAGGACUACCCGCUGAACUUAA